This 209-nucleotide unclassified non-coding RNA is filed under the name uncultured fungus. RNAcentral describes it as "sequence contains ITS1". The record is from RNAcentral. Lineage: Eukaryota; Fungi.
UUGAAUUAUUAAUUCUUUACUCUGACGUUCUCGUUCGAAGACAUGGGUUUGGUUGUCCCCCGGCGGGCGCUGUCCGGGCCGUGGGGCCCGGCGCGCGCGAGCGCGGCCCGCCGAAGCAACGUUCGUUUCGUACUGCAAAGGGUGGGAUGUCGGGCCCCCGAGGGGACCCAAACACUGUAAUGAUCCUUCCGCAGGUUCACCUACGGAAA